CUUCCGAUCAACGAACAAAACGGAUUCCCUACGCCCAAUGGAAAUUGAGAUCAAACUAUAGAUGGUGAAGAGCGACAACCGGAACCUCGUGGCCCAAUCUAUCGGCAACGGGGAUCAAGCGACUGCUUCCACUAAGAGAAGAAGAGAAAAGGGGGGCUUGUGGGGCUAUUUUGGGAUCCGCAGGUUGAACGAAGCUAUAAGAGUAGGGAAGGAAAGCGAGCGAGGGAAUAU
This 231-nucleotide long non-coding RNA is filed under the name Elaeis guineensis (African oil palm). RNAcentral describes it as "long non-coding RNA (EGUI_LNC073247)". Lineage: Eukaryota; Viridiplantae; Streptophyta; Magnoliopsida; Arecales; Arecaceae. The record is from RNAcentral.